AUUGAACGCUGGCGGCAUGCCUUACACAUGCAAGUCGAACGGUAACGGGCCUUCGGGUGCCGACGAGUGGCGAACGGGUGAGUAAUGCAUCGGAACGUACCCAUCAGUGGGGGAUAACUCUCCGAAAGGAGGCCUAAUACCGCAUAUUCUGUGCGCAGGAAAGCGGGGGACCGCACAGCCGCGCGCUGGUGGAGCGGCCGAUGUCAGAUUAGCUAGUUGGUGGGGUAAAGGCCUACCAAGCCGACGAUCUGUAGCGGGUCUGAGAGGAUGAUCCGCCACACAGGGACUGAGACACGGCCCAGACUCCUACGGGAGGCAGCAGUGGGGAAUUUUGGACAAUGGGGGCAACCCUGAUCCAGCCAUGCCGCGUGAGUGAAGAAGGCCUUCGGGUUGUAAAGCUCUUUCGGCCGGGAAGAAAUCGCAUCUCCUAAUACGGGGUGUGGAUGACGGUACCGGAAUAAGAAGCACCGGCUAACUACGUGCCAGCAGCCGCCGUAA
This 498-nucleotide ribosomal RNA is filed under the name uncultured bacterium. RNAcentral describes it as "partial 16S ribosomal RNA". It matches the Rfam family "Bacterial small subunit ribosomal RNA", at positions 29 to 523 of the family's 1533-position model. The record is from RNAcentral.